UGAAACCGUUUAGGGGUAAACCUGAGAAACCCGAAAGGUCGAAGGGAGAAAUUCAUUCGCGUUUCGAAGUCGGCGCGGAACGGAGACCCCCAAUCGUGCGACGAAACUCUCGCGCUUCCGUUCUUCGGAACGGCUCUCGCGCGUGGAAAUUUCGCGCCCUCCGUUCUUCGCGAACCGACGGCGAACGCGUGCACUUUUCUCCUGGUAGGACGUCGCGAUCCGUCGAGUGGUAUCAUUUCGUAAACGCGGUCUACGACGAUUUGCGGUGGAGACCGUCCGUCGCGUCUUUAGUGCGCGCGGACGGACCCGCUCGUUCCGACCGACUCGCUCGACGGUAUAAUCUAAGGUCGGAGGUCGCUCGAAGUCUCCUCACCGAGACGGGAAGCGUUCGACUCGUCGCAAGCGCGUCACGUGUUUCGGCACGCGGACCCGGUGCCGCGUCCGAUCUCUGGCGACUGUUGGCGACGACGUUCUCGAACAGACCUCUUUUUCUCUUUUUAACGAGGGGAAAAAAUACGAGACCGAUCGGCGACGCUAUAGCUUUGGGUAAUUUCAGGACCCGUCUUGAAACACGGACCAAGGAGUCUAGCAUGUACGCGAGUCAUUGGGAAUCUCUAAACCUAAAGGCGUAAUGAAAGUGAAAGUCUUCCUCGCGAAGACGGAGGGAAGACGGGCGGCGACGACGACGGCGACGUCGUCUCGUCGUCCUGCAUUCCCGGGGCGUCUCGUUCACAUCGCGUGAUGAGGCGCACCGAGAGCGUACACGCUGGGACCCGAAAGAUGGUGAACUAUGCCUGGUCAGGACGAA
RNAcentral lists this ribosomal RNA (808 nucleotides) under Xyleborus granulosus. RNAcentral's name for it is "partial large subunit ribosomal RNA". It matches the Rfam family "Eukaryotic large subunit ribosomal RNA", at positions 400 to 850 of the family's 3401-position model. The record is from RNAcentral. Lineage: Eukaryota; Metazoa; Arthropoda; Insecta; Coleoptera; Curculionidae.